RNAcentral lists this unclassified non-coding RNA (222 nucleotides) under Hevea brasiliensis (rubber tree). The record is from RNAcentral. Lineage: Eukaryota; Viridiplantae; Streptophyta; Magnoliopsida; Malpighiales; Euphorbiaceae.
GCUCGACAAGCUGAAUCCUUAGAGACCCAACCUGGGAUUCUCUCUGUUUUGCCUGAGCUGAUAUACCAACUCCACACUACUCGGACACCUCUUUUUUUGGGACUUGAUAGAAGUGUUAAUAUCUUUCCUGAGUCCGAUGCUAUGAGUGAUGUCAUUGUCGGAGUACUCGAUACAGGGGUUUGGCCGGAGAGAAAGAGCUUUGACGAUACUGGAUUUGGACCU